Molecule: ribosomal RNA, 468 nt
Filed under: uncultured bacterium
Lineage: Bacteria
Description: partial 16S ribosomal RNA
Rfam family: Bacterial small subunit ribosomal RNA
Source: RNAcentral
GACGAACGCUGGCGGCGUGCUUAACACAUGCAAGUCGAACGGAAAGGCCCUGCUUUUGUGGGGUGCUCGAGUGGCGAACGGGUGAGUAACACGUGAGUAACCUGCCCUUGACUUUGGGAUAACUUCAGGAAACUGGGGCUAAUACCGGAUAGGAGCUCCUGCUGCAUGGUGGGGGUUGGAAAGUUUCGGCGGUUGGGGAUGGACUCGCGGCUUAUCAGCUUGUUGGUGGGGUAGUGGCUUACCAAGGCUUUGACGGGUAGCCGGCCUGAGAGGGUGACCGGCCACCUUGGGACUGCGAUACGGCCCAGACGCCUACGGGAGGCAGCAGUGGGGAAUAUUGCACAAUGGGCGGAAGCCUGAUGCAGCAACGCCGCGUGCGGGAUGACGGCCUUCGGGUUGUAAACCGCUUUCGCCUGUGACGAAGCGUGAGUGACGGUAAUGGGUAAAGAAGCACCGGCUAACUACGUG